Molecule: ribosomal RNA, 253 nt
Filed under: uncultured bacterium
Lineage: Bacteria
Description: partial 16S ribosomal RNA
Rfam family: Bacterial small subunit ribosomal RNA
Source: RNAcentral
UACGAAGGGGGCUAGCGUUGCUCGGAAUCACUGGGCGUAAAGCGCACGUAGGCGGCUUCUUAAGUCAGGGGUGAAAUCCUGGAGCUCAACUCCAGAACUGCCUUUGAUACUGAGAAGCUUGAGUCCGGGAGAGGUGAGUGGAACUGCGAGUGUAGAGGUGAAAUUCGUAGAUAUUCGCAAGAACACCAGUGGCGAAGGCGGCUCACUGGACCGGCAUUGACGCUGAGGUGCGAAAGCGUGGGGAGCAAACAGG